Molecule: ribosomal RNA, 450 nt
Filed under: uncultured bacterium
Lineage: Bacteria
Description: bacterial SSU rRNA
Rfam family: Bacterial small subunit ribosomal RNA
Source: RNAcentral
GUGGGGAAUAUUGGACAAUGGGCGAAAGCCUGAUCCAGCCAUGCCGCGUGUGUGAAGAAGGUCUUCGGAUUGUAAAGCACUUUAAGUUGGGAGGAAGGGCAGUAAGUUAAUACCUUGCUGUUUUGACGUUACCGACAGAAUAAGCACCGGCUAACUUCGUGCCAGCAGCCGCGGUAAUACGAAGGGUGCAAGCGUUAAUCGGAAUUACUGGGCGUAAAGCGCGAGUAGGUGGUUUGGUAAGUUGGAGGUGAAAUCCCCGGGCUCAACCUGGGAACUGACUCCAAAACUGCAUGACUAGAGUACGGUAGAGGGUAGUGGAAUUUCCUGUGUAGCGGUGAAAUGCGUAGAUAUAGGAAGGAACACCAGUGGCGAAGGCGACUACCUGGACUGAUACUGACACUGAGGUGCGAAAGCGUGGGGAGCAAACAGGAUUAGAAACCCGGGUAGUCC